UCAUUCAUUCUCACUUCUGUUGGGAAAGCUUUGUUUCAUCUUCGAUACGCCGUCUGUGCGAAAACUUAGAAACCCUAAGUUACGCUUCGAUUCAGCUUCCCGACUCGAACAAAUCUGAAACAAUUACGAGAGUUACACCGGAACGAAGCGUCGCUUGAAAGCAUUCAUUAUCUAUUCUUGAAUGCAUCCCCUUUACUUCUUAUCCCAGAAUUUUUGACUAUAAAAAGGCUGAGCUACGUACGAAUGUGUUUUUAGGCAAUUGAAGAAUAAAGAUGAGGAUGGAGUGUCUGAGAACAAUGAAGGUCUGCCUCGGGCUUUGUUGGGAAGCUGCAAUGAUCGUGCAAGGCAUAUUCACGCUUCUUCUACAGGUCUUUCCCCAAAUUUCAAGCUUUUAUCUCUCUCACACUUCAUUUUUUUUAUCAUUCAUAUGUUUUUUGUUUAUAAGAAAAAGGGAAUGUAGGACUGUGUUAAAGUUGAUUUUGUUUUGUAAGAAUUAGAUUGUUUCUUCCGAAGUAUUUGUAAAUGGAGGAAUGAAACUUGCGGUCGAGGAGUCUGACAUGACUGCAUAGCUUCUCAUGACGCAUUUACUCAAAUUUGAUGGCAUCAAGAAGUACAGAAGGGGAAUCAGGAGUACAAAGAAAGCAGAGUUUAGUUUCUCAUCUCUUGCAUUCUUCUUUUGUCUGCAUCAUAGACUAUAUUUACACUAUAAGAAUGUCACUAAUAGUGUUGAACAACAUGAAUCACGUACUUAUGACUAAUGAGCUAUGAGGCUUUUGGAUGAGUUGCAGUGAUCUGAAUUUUGACUAUAAACAAACCUCCCGAGUGAGACAGAAAAGAAAACGUUACGAGAAAGAGAAAACGGUAAUGGAGGCAUCUAAAUUACUAUGGGUUGCAGCACAUUGGUGAUAGGGAGGAAUCACGAGAAGGAGAAGAUGAAGCAAGAGAUAGAGAGAAAAGAAGAGGAAAUAAAGAAUCUUGGAGAGAAAGUUAGAGAAGAUGAAAAGGAGAAGGAGAGGAACUCCUUCUGCAGAAGCCAUUGGAAGGUUGGGAAUAGUAAAGCUCGAAGGUACUUGAGGAACAUGAAGAAGAAGAAGCCUAUUCCUUUCUCACAUAAGUUUCCACGUGCUGAACCUCUUUCUCUUCACCUACCAGAAAUGUUGUCUUCUAAACCCAAUGACCUCCUUACAGCGGAAAGAAAGACUGAAAACUCUAUGUAUGCUGCUUACUAAGGUUUUUAAUGGUUUGGAGUGAAAGAUUACCUACAGUUCUUCGAAGGGGAUCAUAGAGCUGGGCUGAGAAGAGAGGAAACAAUAUCUAGCGAGAAUGUUGGAGGCUCACACAAGCCAGAUAUUUGCAAGGAUUACAAAGAUACUGGAUACUGCGGAUUAGACUCACAUGACCAUGGGUGUUACAAAGUGGGAUGAACAUAGAGAAAGAGUGGGAAGAUAAAUACAGCUAUAGGAGUUUAAGAUCAGAAUUAUGACGGUACUGACAUCAACAGCAACGUGGACAAAGAUACAUUGCCCUUUGUCUGCUUCAUAUGCAGAGACCUUUCGUGGAUCCAGUUGUCACCAAUGGAAGCAUUACUUAUGUGUUCUCUUUAUGGUUUAGUUGAGAGAGCCCUCUGCUGUCUGCUCAACGUUUUCUGGAUAGAGCAUAUUUAGCUUAAUAUUAAGUGUUUUCAAAACAAAAAAGCUAACAUACACUCAUUAUGAUUGUGCAGAACAAACGAUUUAUAUAUAAAAAUAAAAAGCAUAUGUUCCCUCAAA
This is an RNA transcript of Brassica napus (rape), 1769 nucleotides long. It is a transcript of the gene named mitogen-activated protein kinase 8-like, with no coding region annotated. The transcript has 6 exons. The record is from RefSeq and is a predicted model, not a curated record. Lineage: Eukaryota; Viridiplantae; Streptophyta; Magnoliopsida; Brassicales; Brassicaceae.